GACGCGAUGAGUUGAGAAAAUAUGAAGCCAGAUACCAAGCUUCCUUGGAGAAUGCUGGGCACUCACAAGAUGGACAUCAUUUGCCAAACCAGCAAUUGAGUGAUGCUGACAAAGGAAAGAAAACAGAACUGGUGGAUGCAGAUGAUGGAUAUGAUGAUGGAAUUGACUUAGAAGAUGCACAUACAGAUGGAUAUGAUGAUGGUGAUCAUGAAGAUUGGAACCAUACCGUUGCUGCCGAAUCCCAGGACAUAAAUGACAGACAUUUUCUUGAUACACAUGUUGCAGGAAAUAACUAUCAAAAUCAUGCCAAAGAGGCUGGUAAAACGUACAGGGACUUUUCCAAUAAGGAAUCCUCUUCAAGUUCUCAUCACCAAAAAUCUAACACAAACUCUGGACGUGUCAGCUUCAUUGAUGGUCACCCCUCAAAGAAGUCUUCGUCAGAAAAGCGGCCAGUACCCAGA
This 461-nucleotide unclassified non-coding RNA is filed under the name Hevea brasiliensis (rubber tree). The record is from RNAcentral. Lineage: Eukaryota; Viridiplantae; Streptophyta; Magnoliopsida; Malpighiales; Euphorbiaceae.